GCCCGGUCAGGUAUGCUGGACUGGUUAGAAAAGAAAAUGUAGGCAUAAGUAACGAUAAUGCGGGCGAGAAACCCGCACACCGAAAAACUAAGGUUUCCACAGCUAUGCUAAUCAGCUGUGGGUUAGUCUGGUCCUAAGGCGAACCCGAAAGGGACAGUCGAUGGCUAACGGGUUAAUAUUCCCGUACUACUAAUUACUGUGAUGGGGUGACGGAGUGAUGAAAGCGCCGCGAACUGACGGAAUAGUUCGUUGAAGUACCUACCUAUAGGAUCUGCAGGCAAAUCCACAGAUCUUGGGAAAAUACGAUAGUACUCGGAGUCUUCGGACAAAGAGAUAGUGCGCCUAAGGGCUUCCAAGAAAAACCUCUAAACUUCAGGUAAUUAGUACCAGUACCGUAAACCGACACAGGUAGUUGAGGUGAGAAUCCUAAGGUGCUCGAGAGAUUCAUGGCUAAGGAAUUAGGCAAAAUAGACCUGUAACUUCGGGAGAAAGGUCGCCAGCGCAAGCUGGCCGCAGUGAAGAGGUCCAGGCGACUGUUUAUCAAAAACACAGGGCUCUGCAAAAUCGUAAGAUGAAGUAUAGGGCCUGACACCUGCCCGGUGCUGGAAGGUUAAGAGGAGAUGUUAUCUUCGGAGAAGCAUUGAAUUGAAGCCCCAGUAAACGGCGGCCGUAACAAUAACGGUCCUAAGGUAGCGAAAUUCCUUGUCGGGUAAGUUCCGACCUGCACGAAUGGUGUAACGAUCUGGACACUGUCUCAGCCAUGAGCUCGGUGAAAUUGUAGUAACGGUGAAGAUGCCGUUUACCCGCAGUGGGACGAAAAGACCCUGUGCACCUUUACUAUAGCUUAGUAUUGACCUUGGAUAAAUGAUGUGUAGGAUAGGUUGGAGACUGUGAAGUGGCGUCGCCAGGCGUUGUGGAGUCAUUGUUGAAAUACAACCCUUUGUUUAUCUGAGGCCUAACCCCGUUUUGCGGGGGACAUUGCUUGGUGGGUAGUUUGACUGGGGUGGUCGCCUCCAAAAGAGUAACGGAGGCUUCUAAAGGUUCCCUCAGUACGCUUGGUAACCGUGCGUAGAGUGCAAUGGCAUAAGGGAGCUUGACUGAGAGACAUACAGGUCGAUCAGGUACGAAAGUAGAGCAUAGUGAUCCGGUGGUUCCGCAUGGAAGGGCCAUCGCUCAAAGGAUAAAAGGUACGCCGGGGAUAACAGGCUGAUCUCCCCCAAGAGCUCAUAUCGACGGGGGGGUUUGGCACCUCGAUGUCGGCUCGUCACAUCCUGGGGCUGGAGAAGGUCCCAAGGGUUGGGCUGUUCGCCCAUUAAAGUGGCACGCGAGCUGGGUUCAGAACGUCGUGAGACAGUUCGGUCUCUAUCUACUGUGGGCGUUAGAAAUUUGAGUGGAUCUGAUUCUAGUACGAGAGGACCGAAUUGGACAAACCUCUAGUGUAUCUGUUGUCCCGCCAGGGGCACCGCAGAGUAGCUACGUUUGGAAGGGAUAAGCGCUGAAAGCAUAUAAGCGCGAAACCCACCACAAGAUGAGAUUUCUUUUAAGGAUCGUGGAAGAUGACCACGUUGAUAGGCUAUAGAUGUAAAGGCAGUAAUGUCAUAGUCGAGUAGUACUAAUAAUCCU
RNAcentral lists this ribosomal RNA (1623 nucleotides) under metagenome. Its description in RNAcentral is "bacterial LSU rRNA". It matches the Rfam family "Bacterial large subunit ribosomal RNA", at positions 1259 to 2911 of the family's 2925-position model. The record is from RNAcentral.